This 497-nucleotide ribosomal RNA is filed under the name uncultured bacterium. RNAcentral's name for it is "partial 16S ribosomal RNA". It matches the Rfam family "Bacterial small subunit ribosomal RNA", at positions 28 to 507 of the family's 1533-position model. The record is from RNAcentral.
GAUGAACGCUGGCGGCGUGCCUAAUACAUGCAAGUCGAGCGAACAGAUGAGGAGCUUGCUCCUCUGACGUUAGCGGCGGACGGGUGAGUAACACGUGGAUAACCUACCUAUAAGACUGGGAUCACUUCGGGAAACCGGAGCUAAUACCGGAUAAUAUAGUGAACCGCAUGGUUCAAUAGUGAAAGACGGUUUUGCUGUCACUUAUAGAUGGAUCCGCGCCGCAUUAGCUAGUUGGUAAGGUAACGGCUUACCAAGGCAACGAUGCGUAGCCGACCUGAGAGGAUGAUCAGCCACACUGGAACUGAGACACGGUCCAGACUCCUACGGGAGGCAGCAGUAGGGAAUCUUCCGCAAUGGGCGAAAGCCUGACGGAGCAACGCCGCGUGAGUGAUGAAGGUCUUCGGAUCGUAAAGCUCUGUUAUUAGGGAAGAACAAAUGUGUAAGUAACUAUGCACGUCUUGACGGUACCUAAUCAGAAAGCCACGGCUAACUACGUG